UCGAACUUCGACCUCAUGGGACGACCCAUUCGAAUUUCCCGGUGGGGAGAUAUUGGCUCAUGGCCCAGCGGUACAGGUUGUUGGCGUCGAGAUAGAGGAUGUGGUUGGUCGGUUU
Molecule: long non-coding RNA, 115 nt
Organism: Haliotis rubra (blacklip abalone)
Lineage: Eukaryota; Metazoa; Mollusca; Gastropoda; Lepetellida; Haliotidae
Exons: 3
Source: RefSeq, a predicted model, not a curated record